RNAcentral lists this transfer RNA (90 nucleotides) under Tropicimonas isoalkanivorans. Its description in RNAcentral is "tRNA_Ser_TGA". It matches the Rfam family "tRNA". Rfam says of the family: Transfer RNA (tRNA) molecules are approximately 80 nucleotides in length. The record is from RNAcentral. Lineage: Bacteria; Pseudomonadati; Pseudomonadota; Alphaproteobacteria; Rhodobacterales; Roseobacteraceae. RNAcentral also lists the same sequence under 1 other name.
GGAGGCGUGGCAGAGCGGUUGAAUGCACCGGUCUUGAAAACCGGCGUACGUGAAAGCGUACCGUGGGUUCGAAUCCCACCGCCUCCGCCA